Molecule: ribosomal RNA, 250 nt
Filed under: uncultured bacterium
Lineage: Bacteria
Description: partial 16S ribosomal RNA
Rfam family: Bacterial small subunit ribosomal RNA
Source: RNAcentral
UACGAAGGGGGCUAGCGUUGUUCGGAAUUACUGGGCGUAAAGGGCGCGUAGGCGGCUCUGAGAUAGUUGAGUGUGAAAGGCCUGGGCUCAACCCGGGAACUGCACCCAAUACUGCAGGGCUUGAGUGUGGGAGAGGAUAGUGGAAUUCCCAGUGUAGAGGUGAAAUUCGUAGAUAUUGGGAAGAACACCAGUGGCGAAGGCGGCUAUCUGGACCACAACUGACGCUGAGGCGCGAAAGCGUGGGGAGCAA